AGAGUUUGAUCAUGGCUCAGAACGAACGCUGACGGUAUGCUUAAUACAUGCAAGUCGUACGAGAAAGUUCCUUCGGGAAUGUGUAAAGUGGCGCACGGGUGAGUAACACGUAGGUGACCUGCCUAUCAGAUUGGAAUAACCCAGGGAAACCUGGGCUAAUACCGGAUAAUGUGAGUGAAUUAAAAUAAACUCAGCAAAGAUGGCCUCUGCUUGCAAGCUAUCGCUGAUAGAUGGGCCUGCGUCGCAUUAGCUAGUUGGUAGGGUAAUGGCCUACCAAGGCGAUGAUGCGUAGCCGGUCUGAGAGGAUGAUCGGCCACACUGGAACUGAGACACGGUCCAGACUCCUACGGGAGGCAGCAGUAGGGAAUCUUGCGCAAUGGGCGAAAGCCUGACGCAGCAAUACCGUGUGAGUGAGGAAGGCCUUCGGGUUGUAAAGCUCUGUCACAAGGGACAAACGGUCUGGGUGUGAACAAUGCCCAGGUUUGAUGGUACCUUGAGAGGAAGCACCGGCUAACUUCGUGCCAGCAGCCGCGGUAAUACGAAGGGUGCAAGCGUUGUUCGGAAUUAUUGGGCGUAAAGCGCGCGCAGGCGGGUAGACAAGUCAGAUGUUAAAUCUCGGGGCUCAACCCCGAACCUGCGUCUGAAACUGCCUACCUAGAAUGUCGGAGGGGGAAGGGGAAUUUCACAUGUAGGGGUAAAAUCCGUAGAGAUGUGAAGGAACACCGGAGGCGAAGGCGCCUUCCUGGCCGAAAAUUGAGCUGAGGCGCGAAAGCGUGGGGAGCAAACAGGAUUAGAUACCCUAGUAGUCC
RNAcentral lists this ribosomal RNA (809 nucleotides) under uncultured bacterium. Its description in RNAcentral is "bacterial SSU rRNA". It matches the Rfam family "Bacterial small subunit ribosomal RNA", at positions 8 to 796 of the family's 1533-position model. The record is from RNAcentral.